UUUUAUUUGAGAGUUUGAUCCUGGCUCAGGAUGAACGCUGGCGGCGUGCCUAACACAUGCAAGUCGAGCGAUU
Molecule: ribosomal RNA, 73 nt
Filed under: Romboutsia maritimum
Lineage: Bacteria; Bacillati; Bacillota; Clostridia; Peptostreptococcales; Peptostreptococcaceae
Description: partial 16S ribosomal RNA
Rfam family: Bacterial small subunit ribosomal RNA
Source: RNAcentral